Long non-coding RNA from Malania oleifera, 905 nucleotides. RefSeq lists it as uncharacterized. The transcript has 4 exons. The record is from RefSeq and is a predicted model, not a curated record. NCBI's taxonomy places the organism in Eukaryota, Viridiplantae, Streptophyta, Magnoliopsida, Santalales, Ximeniaceae.
CUAGCUUGGGAUGGGUCACUUGUUGAUUUAAGUCCCAAUUCGAUUCUUGCCCAGCGAGCAAAUCAUGUAUUUACCCCUAACCAGUGAGAGGGCCUUAUUAUUUGGGCGUGAGAAUAGACUAAGUAUCCUAUGUGGCCACUAGAGUGUGCCAGCCAACCGAGUGUCAGCUGACAGAAAAAAAAAAAACAUUAAAGAAGAGUUCAAUAGAACAUUAAAAAUCUGAACAGUCCAAAGAAUUGUUCCCACACGGAAAGGGGCUCUUUUUUCCCAUCACCCUUUUGCUAGAUAUGCUGAGGAAUGAACCCAAGAAUCCCAUAAAUAUAGAGUAUGAAACCACAAUAGUGGAUCAAGCACGCGAGGAGAAUGAUGGGUUGUCUGCUCUUGACGCUAUGGUGUUCGACGAUUUGCCUCACAGAAAUGGUCAAUUCUCUGCCAGAUGGAUAUUCGACCGAUCGAGAAACGAAAGAUAUCGUUGAGUUCCUAACUCCGCCACCAACAUUUCUACUGGAGUGGAUUUAUCGUAAAAGCAACGUAGGCACCACUCCUGGGAAAAGGGUCCGGGUGAGCGCCGCAAGCAUCUUUUCGGGGUCCUUGUUGACUUAGUUCAAGAAAUCAGGAUUUCCUCGAGAUCGAGCUUAGAGAGCUCGACAUUUUAUAGCAUUUUUUAGAAAUAGAAAGAGAAAAUGGUAUAUUUUUAUGUUAAUUUUGAUAUGUAUAUUUUAUGUUUUAUGUUUUAUGUAUUGAAGUCUUCAGAUAGAUGAAUAGUUGUGAAUAUUGGUAUUUGUGGAUUAUGUUUUAGAGACAUGUAUAUAUGUGAUUAUAGGUGGUGAAUAGUUAAUUUGGAUUAUGUAUAGGAAUAGUAAACUCUGGUAUUAUAUAAUUGAGGAUCAUAGUUAUGUUUUCUA